Molecule: ribosomal RNA, 496 nt
Filed under: uncultured bacterium
Lineage: Bacteria
Description: bacterial SSU rRNA
Rfam family: Bacterial small subunit ribosomal RNA
Source: RNAcentral
AGUAGUUGAUCAGUGGCUCAGGACGAACGCUGGCGGCGUGCCUAACACAUGCAAGUCGAACGGAGUCAAGAAGCUUGCUUUUGACUUAGUGGCGGACGGGUGAGUAACGCGUGAGUAACCUGCCUCUGAGAGGGGAAUAACGUUCUGAAAAGAACGCUAAUACCGCAUAACGUAUCGAAGCCGCAUGACUUUGAUACCAAAGAUUUUAUCGCUCGGAGAUGGACUCGCGUCCGAUUAGUUAGUUGGUGAGGUAACGGCUCACCAAGACCGCGAUCGGUAGCCGGACUGAGAGGUUGAUCGGCCACAUUGGGACUGAGACACGGCCCAGACUCCUACGGGAGGCAGCAGUGGGGGAUAUUGCGCAAUGGGGGCAACCCUGACGCCAGCAACGCCGCGUGAAGGAUGAAGGUUUUCGGAUUGUAAACUUCUUUUAUCAGGGACGAAAUCUGACGGUACCUGAUGAAUAAGCUCCGGCUAACUACGUGCCAGCAGCCGC